AACGAACGCUGGCGGCAUGCCUAACACAUGCAAGUCGAACGAGAUCUUCGGGUCUAGUGGCGCACGGGUGCGUAACGCGUGGGAAUCUGCCCUUUGGUUCGGAAUAACAGUUGGAAACGACUGCUAAUACCGGAUGAUGACGAAAGUCCAAAGAUUUAUCGCCAGAGGAUGAGCCCGCGUAGGAUUAGCUAGUUGGUGUGGUGAAGGCGCACCAAGGCGACGAUCCUUAGCUGAUCUGAGAGGAUGAUCAGCCACACUGGGACUGAGACACGGCCCAGACUCCUACGGGAGGCAGCAGUGGGGAAUAUUGGACAAUGGGCGAAAGCCUGAUCCAGCAAUGCCGCGUGAGUGAUGAAGGCCUUAGGGUUGUAAAGCUCUUUUACCCGGGAUGAUAAUGACAGUACCGGGAGAAUAAGCUCCGGCUAACUCCGUGCCAGCAGCCGCGGUAA
RNAcentral lists this ribosomal RNA (449 nucleotides) under uncultured bacterium. RNAcentral's name for it is "partial 16S ribosomal RNA". It matches the Rfam family "Bacterial small subunit ribosomal RNA", at positions 29 to 523 of the family's 1533-position model. The record is from RNAcentral.